RNAcentral lists this transfer RNA (73 nucleotides) under Ictidomys tridecemlineatus (thirteen-lined ground squirrel). Its description in RNAcentral is "Spermophilus tridecemlineatus (thirteen-lined ground squirrel) tRNA". It matches the Rfam family "tRNA". From Rfam's summary of the family: Transfer RNA (tRNA) molecules are approximately 80 nucleotides in length. Their secondary structure includes four short double-helical elements and three loops (D, anti-codon, and T loops). Lineage: Eukaryota; Metazoa; Chordata; Mammalia; Rodentia; Sciuridae. The record is from Rfam by way of RNAcentral.
GGGGAUGUCACUCAUUUGGUAGAGUGCUUGCCUAGUAUUAGCAAGGACCUGGGUUCAAUCCCCAGCACCACCA